AUGGCAUUGAAUGUAAUAAAAAUCUGUUCUUAUCAGUUUAAUAUCUGAUACGUCCCCCAUUGGGGGACUAUAUAUUAAAUUGAUUUUUCGAACAGGGAGUCAGAAAUGUGGCUUGCUCCAUUCGCUCCACGCAUCGACCCGGUAUUGUAGUACCUCCGGGAACAGUGCAACACUU
RNAcentral lists this small nuclear RNA (175 nucleotides) under Oncorhynchus kisutch (coho salmon). RNAcentral describes it as "U2 spliceosomal RNA (ENSOKIG00005048700.1)". It matches the Rfam family "U2 spliceosomal RNA". Rfam says of the family: U2 is a small nuclear RNA (snRNA) component of the spliceosome (involved in pre-mRNA splicing). Complementary binding between U2 snRNA (in an area lying towards the 5' end but 3' to hairpin I) and the branchpoint sequence (BPS) of the intron results the bulging out of an unpaired adenosine, on the BPS, which initiates a nucleophilic attack at the intronic 5' splice site, thus starting the first of two transesterification reactions that mediate splicing. The record is from Rfam by way of RNAcentral. Lineage: Eukaryota; Metazoa; Chordata; Actinopteri; Salmoniformes; Salmonidae.